Molecule: ribosomal RNA, 481 nt
Filed under: uncultured bacterium
Lineage: Bacteria
Description: partial 16S ribosomal RNA
Rfam family: Bacterial small subunit ribosomal RNA
Source: RNAcentral
GAUGAACGCUGGCGGCGUGCUUAACACAUGCAAGUCGAACGAAGCACUUUAUUUGAUUUCCUUCGGGACUGAUUAUUUUGUGACUGAGUGGCGGACGGGUGAGUAACGCGUGGGUAACCUGCCUUGUACAGGGGGAUAACAGUUGGAAACGGCUGCUAAUACCGCAUAAGCGCCCAGCAUCGCAUGAUGCAGUGUGAAAAACUCCGGUGGUAUAAGAUGGACCCGCGUUGGAUUAGCUAGUUGGUGAGGUAACGGCCCACCAAGGCGACGAUCCAUAGCCGACCAGAGAGGGUGACCGGCCACAUUGGGACUGAGACACGGCCCAAACUCCUACGGGAGGCAGCAGUGGGGAAUAUUGCACAAUGGGCGAAAGCCUGAUGCAGCGACGCCGCGUGAGCGAAGAAGUAUUUCGGUAUGUAAAGCUCUAUCAGCAGGGAAGAUAAUGACGGUACCUGACGAAGAAGCACCGGCUAAAUACGUG